CAAGCUUUUAAGAGCAGAUGGCGGAUGCCUUGCCAAAGAGAGGCGAUGAAGGACGUACUAGACUGCGAUAAGCUAUGCGGAGCUGUCAAGGAGCUUUGAUGCGUAGAUGUCCGAAUGGGGCAACCCAACUAAUAGAGAUAUUAGUUACUCUAAUUAUAGAGGGCGAACCUAGUGAAGUGAAACAUCUCAGUAACUAGAGGAAAAGAAAUCAACGAGAUUCCCUAAGUAGUGGCGAGCGAACGGGGAAAAGGGCAAACCGAGUGCUUGCAUUCGGGGUUGAGGACUGCAACAUCCAAGAGAACGCUUUAGCAGAGUUACCUGGAAAGGUAAGCCAUAGAAAGUGAUAGCCUUGUAUGCGACAAGGCGUUCUUAGGUAGCAGUAUCCAGAGUAGGCCAGGACACGAGAAAUCCAGGUUGAAGCCGGGGAGACCACUCUCCAACCCUAAAUACUACUCUUUGAGCGAUAGCGAACAAGUACCGUGAGGGAAAGGUGAAAAGAACCGCAGUGAGCGGAGUGAAAUAGAACCUGAAACCAUCUGCUUACAAUCAUUCAGAGCCCUAUGAUUUAUCAGGGUGAUGGACUGCCUUUUGCAUAAUGAUCCUGCGAGUUGUGGUAUCUGGCAAGGUUAAGCGAAUGCGAAGCCGUAGCGAAAGCGAGUCUUAAUAGGGCGCUUGAGUCAGAUGCUGCAGACCCGAAGCUAAGUGAUCUAUCCAUGGCCAAGUUGAAACGCGUGUAAUAGCGCGUGGAGGACUGAACUCGUACCCAUUGAAACGGGUUGGGAUGAGCUGUGGAUAGGGGUGAAAGGCCAAACAAACUUAGUGAUAGCUGGUUCUCUUCGAAAUAUAUUUAGGUAUAGCCUCAAGUGAUAAUAAAAGGGGGUAGAGCACUGAUUGGGCUAGGGCUGCUCGCCGCGGUACCAAACCCUAUCAAACUUCGAAUACCUUUUAUCGUAUCUUGGGAGUCAGGCGGUGGGUGAUAAAAUCAAUCGUCAAAAGGGGAACAACCCAGACUACCAAAUAAGGUCCCUAAGUUCUAUUCUGAGUGGAAAAAGAUGUGUGGCUACUCAAACAACCAGGAGGUUGGCUUAGAAGCAGCCAUCCUUUAAAGAAAGCGUAACAGCUCACUGGUCUAGUGGUCAUGCGCUGAAAAUAUAACGGGGCUAAGAUAGACACCGAAUUUGUAGAUUGUGUUAAACACAGUGGUAGAAGAGCGUUCAUACCAGCGUUGAAGGUAUACCGGUAAGGAGUGCUGGAGCGGUAUGAAGUGAGCAUGCAGGAAUGAGUAACGAUAAGAUAUAUGAGAAUUGUAUCCGCCGUAAAUCUAAGGUUUCCUACGCGAUGGUCGUCAUCGUAGGGUUAGUCGGGUCCUAAGCCGAGUCCGAAAGGGGUAGGUGAUGGCAAAUUGGUUAAUAUUCCAAUACCGACUUAUGGAGCGUGAUGGGGGGACGCAUAGGGUUAAGCGAGCUAGCUGAUGGAAGCGCUAGUCUAAGGGCGUAGAUUGGAGGGAAGGCAAAUCCACCUCUGUAUUUGAAACCCAAACAGGCUCUUUGAGUCCUUUCAGGACAAAGGGAGAAUCGCUGAUACCGUCGUGCCAAGAAAAGCCUCUAAGCAUAUCCAUAGUCGUCCGUACCGCAAACCGACACAGGUAGAUGAGAUGAGUAUUCUAAGGCGCGUGAAAGAACUCUGGUUAAGGAACUCUGCAAACUAGCACCGUAAGUUCGCGAUAAGGUGUGCCACAGCGAUGUGGUCUCAGCAAAGAGUCCCUCCCGACUGUUUACCAAAAACACAGCACUUUGCCAACUCGUAAGAGGAAGUAUAAGGUGUGACGCCUGCCCGGUGCUCGAAGGUUAAGAGGAUGCGUCAGUCGCAAAAGAUGAAGCGUUGAAUUGAAGCCCGAGUAAACGGCGGCCGUAACUAUAACGGUCCUAAGGUAGCGAAAUUCCUUGUCGGUUAAAUACCGACCUGCAUGAAUGGCGUAACGAGAUGGGAGCAGUCUCAACCAGAGAUUCAGUGAAAUUGUAGUGGAGGUGAAAAUUCCUCCUACCCGCGGCAAGACGGAAAGACCCCGUGGACCUUUACUACAACUUAGCACUGCUAAUGGGAAUAUCAUGCGCAGGAUAGGUGGGAGGCUUUGAAGUAAGGGCUUUGGCUCUUAUGGAGCCAUCCUUGAGAUACCACCCUUGAUGUUUCUGUUAGCUAACUGGCCUGUGUUAUCCACAGGCAGGACAAUGCUUGGUGGGUAGUUUGACUGGGGCGUCGCCUCCUAAAAAGUAACGGAGGCUUGCAAAGGUUGGCUCAUUGCGGUUGGAAAUCGCAAGUUGAGUGUAAUGGCACAAGCCAGCCUGACUGUAAGACAUACAAGUCAAGCAGAGACGAAAGUCGGUCAUAGUGAUCCGGUGGUUCUGUGUGGAAGGGCCAUCGCUCAAAGGAUAAAAGGUACCCCGGGGAUAACAGGCUGAUCUCCCCCAAGAGCUCACAUCGACGGGGAGGUUUGGCACCCCGAUGUCGGCUCAUCGCAUCCUGGGGCUGGAGCAGGUCCCAAGGGUAUGGCUGUUCGCCAUUUAAAGCGGUACGCGAGCUGGGUUCAGAACGUCGUGAGACAGUUCGGUCCCUAUCUGCCGUGGGCGUAGGAAAGUUGAGGAGAGCUGUCCCUAGUACGAGAGGACCGGGAUGGACGUGUCACUGGUGCACCAGUUGUUCUGCCAAGAGCAUCGCUGGGUAGCUACACACGGAUGUGAUAACUGCUGAAAGCAUCUAAGCAGGAAGCCAACUCCAAGAUAAACUUUCCCUGAAGCUCGCACAAAGACUAUGUGCUUGAUAGGGUAGAUGUGUAAGCGUAGUAAUGCGUUUAGCUGACUACUACUAAUAGAGCGUUUGGCUUGUUUU
RNAcentral lists this ribosomal RNA (2886 nucleotides) under Helicobacter pylori Hp P-28b. RNAcentral describes it as "bacterial LSU rRNA". It matches the Rfam family "Bacterial large subunit ribosomal RNA". The record is from RNAcentral. Lineage: Bacteria; Pseudomonadati; Campylobacterota; Epsilonproteobacteria; Campylobacterales; Helicobacteraceae.